GGCCUGGUGGCGUAACGGUAACGCGCACAUUUGCAGUCAACCUCUCCGCGAUAUUACAAUUGCGAGUCCCUCGUUCAAUUCGAGGUCAGGCCG
Mycena alexandri is the source of this 93-nucleotide non-coding RNA. The record is from the annotation of a GenBank genome assembly. Lineage: Eukaryota; Fungi; Basidiomycota; Agaricomycetes; Agaricales; Mycenaceae.